AAGUCGUAACAAGGUUUCCGUAGGUGAACCUGCGGAAGGAUCAUUAAUGAAUUUUGGAGUUCUACUGUGCCUGCCGUUCAUUUGGAUGUGUGCACGUAGUCUCUAUAAAUCCUUAUCAACACCUGUGCACCUUUAAAAAGGGGAAACUGAUUAAGCUUUUUACGGGCUUAUGAGGAAUAACCUUUUUUCUUAUACAAACUCUUAAUGUCUAUUAGAAUGUUCUCUGGCCGCAAGGCUAUAAAAUAUAAACAACUUUUAACAACGGAUCUCUUGGCUCUC
Molecule: unclassified non-coding RNA, 279 nt
Filed under: Minimedusa polyspora
Lineage: Eukaryota; Fungi; Basidiomycota; Agaricomycetes; Cantharellales; Hydnaceae
Also listed under: 3 other names
Description: partial internal transcribed spacer region
Rfam family: Eukaryotic small subunit ribosomal RNA (bases 1-46)
Source: RNAcentral